GACGAACGCUGGCGGCGUGCUUAACACACGCAAGUCGAGCGGAAAGGCCCUGCUUUUGUGGGGUGCUCGAGUGGCGAACGGGUGAGUAACACGUGAGUAACCUGCCCUUGACUUUGGGAUAACUUCAGGAAACUGGGGCUAAUACCGGAUAGGAGCUCCUGCUGCAUGGUGGGGGUUGGAAAGUUUCGGCGGUUGGGGAUGGACUCGCGGCUUAUCAGCUUGUUGGUGGGGUAGUGGCUUACCAAGGCUUUGACGGGUAGCCGGCCUGAGAGGGUGACCGGCCACAUUGGGACUGAGAUACGGCCCAGACUCCUACGGGAGGCAGCAGUGGGGAAUAUUGCACAAUGGGCGGAAGCCUGAUGCAGCAACGCCGCGUGCGGGAUGACGGCCUUCGGGUUGUAAACCGCUUUCGCCUGUGACGAAGCGUGAGUGACGGUAAUGGGUAAAGAAGCACCGGCUAACUACGUG
RNAcentral lists this ribosomal RNA (468 nucleotides) under uncultured bacterium. Its description in RNAcentral is "partial 16S ribosomal RNA". It matches the Rfam family "Bacterial small subunit ribosomal RNA", at positions 28 to 507 of the family's 1533-position model. The record is from RNAcentral.